GCAGUCAGGGGGUGAGGAGACGGGGUAGAACGUAGGGGGGAGAAGUGGUGCGGAAGUGUGGGGCGGGAGGAGGGCGUAGGCGGCUGGUCGCGUCGGCGUGGAAAACGUGGGGCUGAACUACGGGGCGGCAGCCGAGACGAGCAAGCUAGAAGUCGGUAGGGGAGACUGGAAUUCCGGGUGUAGCGGUGAAAUGCGGAGAUAUCAGGAGGAACACCGGUGGCGAAGGCGGGUCUCUGGGCCGAAAUUGACGCUGAGGAGCGAAAGCGUGGGGAGCGAACAGGAUUAGAUACCCUGGUAGUC
Molecule: ribosomal RNA, 300 nt
Filed under: uncultured Salinicoccus sp.
Lineage: Bacteria; Bacillati; Bacillota; Bacilli; Caryophanales; Staphylococcaceae
Description: bacterial SSU rRNA
Rfam family: Bacterial small subunit ribosomal RNA (bases 71-300)
Source: RNAcentral